RNAcentral lists this ribosomal RNA (341 nucleotides) under uncultured bacterium. RNAcentral describes it as "bacterial SSU rRNA". It matches the Rfam family "Bacterial small subunit ribosomal RNA", at positions 29 to 399 of the family's 1533-position model. The record is from RNAcentral.
AGCGAACGCUGGCGGCAGGCUUAACACAUGCAAGUCGAACGAUCCUUCGGGAUAGUGGCGGAACGGGUGAGUAACACGUGGGAACGUGCCUUUUUGGUCGGAAUAACUCAGGGAAACUUGAGCUAAUACCGGAUGUGCCCCUUGGGGGAAAGAUUUAUCGCCAUUAGAGCGGCCCGCGUCUGAUUAGCUUGUUGGUGAGGUAAUGGCUCACCAAGGCGACGAUCAGUAGCGGUCUGAGAGGAUGAUCAGCCACAUUGGGACUGAGACACGGCCCAAACUCCUACGGGAGGCAGCAGUGGGGAAUCUUGCGCAAUGGGCGAAAGCCUGACGCAGCCAUGCCG